GGCGGCUUUGCGCUGGAACACCCCGUUCGCAAAGGGGGGGGCUGGGGGGGCUUCAAGCCCCCCAGCCGCCG
Molecule: transfer RNA, 71 nt
Filed under: Humidesulfovibrio sp.
Lineage: Bacteria; Pseudomonadati; Thermodesulfobacteriota; Desulfovibrionia; Desulfovibrionales; Desulfovibrionaceae
Description: tRNA-Ala
Source: RNAcentral